CGGACGCUUAACCGACUGCGCCACCCAGGCGCCCCAACAUACCUAUUUCAAAUAAGUCUGAUUUUACCAUGUUACUCUUCCAAACUCUGAGUUAUCAGCUGAUGUGCAGUGGUUCCCAAAGUGUGGGCAACAGACUAGCAGCAUCAGCAUCAUCUGUGAACUUGGCAGAAAUAACGCUUGGGACCCACCCCAGACUGACUGAAUGUGGUGAAUAGAAGCAGUUAUAGUUGGCAAGUAUAUCUUUAGACUUUAUUUUUAGAUAAAAUGCUUUUAGUGUUUCAUCAUAAAGUAUGAUGUUUGAUAUAGGUUUCUAAGACCAAAGUUCUGCUUUGUUGUCAUAAUGGAAUCAUACUGUGAUUAAUAUAAAGACACUAACAGACACAGAGAAUAUCAAGUGUAAUGGCAAAGGGAAAAUAAAUCUGCAAAGGUGAUUUUAAAAGCAAGGGAUAACAUAUCAUUCUCUCAGAUAGAGGAAAGACUUCCCAGAUCCCCAAAGUUUCCCAUCCAGAUACAGCUAUUGGACAGUAUCACAAAGUAUUUUCUGCUUUUAAUGUGGGUUUUUUAUCCUUUUGGUCCUGACUCCUGGAAUAUCUUUUUAUGUGCCUACCAGCUGUCCAGGUGCAAAUAACCACUCCAAAACACUUUGAAUACCUUAUUUUUUUUCUCUCAGAUAAUUAAGUAAAGCAAAAGUCAAUAUCCCUUCAGGAGAUUCAGGCUAAGUGGCCUAACUGAGCUCCACUCUUACAUCCUCUAUUCCUAGAUCACUAAGAACUGUUGCAUAAAUAUGUGUUGAAUAUUAUUAAAUGCUCAUUCUUUAUUUGGAUAAUCAUAUUUUUCCUUUUAAUCUGUUAA
Felis catus (domestic cat) is the source of this 852-nucleotide long non-coding RNA. RefSeq lists it as uncharacterized. Lineage: Eukaryota; Metazoa; Chordata; Mammalia; Carnivora; Felidae. The transcript has 3 exons. The record is from RefSeq and is a predicted model, not a curated record.